Long non-coding RNA from Orcinus orca (killer whale), 799 nucleotides. RefSeq lists it as uncharacterized. NCBI's taxonomy places the organism in Eukaryota, Metazoa, Chordata, Mammalia, Artiodactyla, Delphinidae. The record is from RefSeq and is a predicted model, not a curated record. The transcript has 2 exons.
GAGGACAACUGAGCUAGCGCCGCGCUUACCUCGCAGUCCUCGUACUUGAUAUUAUCCGUCAGUUUCCAAAGCAUUUUCAUGGAUCGGCGUGAAUGGAUUUGCCCCCUCUCCGCCUCGCACCCAAGUGGAGCUACUCUCUGGCCUAAUCGCCUCAUUAGCAUAUCAACAAUAGUCCAAUUGCUCGCCAGCACCACAAUCUGCCGCCGGCCGCUCCGACCCAGGUAUAAAGGCCUCCCCAAGCCGCAAACCUGCUCCUAGAGCGCGCUCCUGCCGGGGAGCCCACGAAAUCUCCCUUGAGCCCCGCCGCGCGGCCCUGCCCCGGCGCCCCCGCCCCCAUGCCACUCUUCUCUCUCCUCUUCUCUGCUCUCUUCUCCGUCUCCUCCUCGCCGGAGACGACCCGGCAAAAGCCCGGCACUGCGCAGGGUCCGAGCGACCGCGCCGGGGCCCAGCUUUCGGCACCUCUCCCUCAUCCCUGCCUCCACCAGCGGCUCUGUCCUUUCGGCUCCGUCCAAUCUUAUUAGAAAUUACUAUCCCUUUCGCAAUCAGAUGUAACCACCAAACGAAGACCGGCGAAGUCACGUCAGGAUUUUUGCCCAACAAGAGAUCGCCUCCGCUCCCCGGCAGCUGACACCUCCGGCCGCGGCGCCCUGGGACUUUUACUGGCUUCGCGCUUCCCAGCCCACCCCACCCCCCCAGGUUGGAGAUUUUGCCAGACGGCUUCAGUCGCCCGGCUGGGGUUUGGGAUCCUUUAAUUGCCGCGUGUAAAAUAAAAAGUGUACCCUGAAGAGGUUACUUGACA